GGGCCCGCACAAGCGGUGGAGCAUGUGGUUUAAUUCGAUGCAACGCGAAGAACCUUACCUACUCUUGACAUCUACAGGAUCCUGCGGAGACGCGGGAGUGCCUUCGGGAACUGUAAGACAGGUGCUGCAUGGCUGUCGUCAGCUCGUGUUGUGAAAUGUUGGUUAAGUCCCGCAACGAGCGCAACCCUUAUCCUUGUUUGCCAGCGAGUAAUGUCGGGAACUCCAGGGAGACUGCCGGUGAUAAACCGGAGGAAGGUGGGGACGACGUCAAGUCAUCAUGGCCCUUACGAGUAGGGCUACACACGUGCUACAAUGGCUAGGACAGACGGCUGCAAACCCGCAGGGGGAG
This 349-nucleotide ribosomal RNA is filed under the name uncultured bacterium. RNAcentral's name for it is "bacterial SSU rRNA". It matches the Rfam family "Bacterial small subunit ribosomal RNA", at positions 917 to 1267 of the family's 1533-position model. The record is from RNAcentral.